GAUAAGUCGCCCACAUCGCCUCACGGUCUUCUUUUUUUUGUACUCGUUCCCCGCUCGAUCCAUCUGCCGCCUUUACCACAAUUCACAUCGUAUUCUGCCGAUUCGCUGAGAGCUGAAAUUCGCGGCGAAAUAAUUUUAGCAACUUGUUAUCCGUCCAUGCCAUGCGCGAUAAAAUAUCACAACUAUUUUGCUUGCAAAAAAACGCAUGCAAAAAUAAUACAACAGAUAAUAGAGGACAUAAUGUGCCAACAAAAGCAGCGAACAACGGGACAAUGUGCGCCAAUGGGACUAUUGGGACAGAAGGGCCCGAAGCGACAGAGACCGACUCAUCAGGGACCGGGCGGAUGCGGAAGCCGCUGGAGAGGAAUGGCUCAACGCAGAACGACGCUGUUCACCUCGAGAGAAGGCUGGGCCUCUUCAGUGGGGUGGCUUUAAUUGUCGGAACUAUGAUAGGGUCUGGAAUAUUUGUGUCUCCCUCCGGUUUACUGGUUCGUACUGGUUCCGUUGGAGUUAGCUUUGUAAUCUGGCUUGCCUGUGGUGUACUCUCGCUUCUGGGCGCUCUGGCAUACGCUGAACUUGGAACGAUGAACACCUCGUCUGGUGCAGAAUGGGCAUACUUUAUGGAUGCCUAUGGACCGGCGCCGGCGUUCCUGUUCUCAUGGGUAUCGACAUUGGUGUUGAAGCCAUCUCAAAUGGCUAUAAUAUGCUUAUCAUUUGCACAGUACGCCGUUGAGGCCUUUGUGACAGAAUGUGAUCCGCCCAGGGGUGUCGUGAAGAUGGUCGCACUGGUGGCUAUUGUGAUGAUACUGUUCGUGAACUGCUACAGCGUUAACCUGGGCAUGGCCGUGCAGAAUGUGUUCACCGCCGCCAAGCUGGUGGCCGUCGUGAUCGUGAUCUGUGGCGGGGCCUGGAAGCUGAUGCAGGGCAACACGCAGCACCUGUCGAAUGCAUUUAAUGGACCGAUGCCUAACGUCGGAGCGAUUGCCACGGCAUUCUAUACGGGCUUGUGGGCCUACGACGGCUGGAACAACCUCAACUACGUCACCGAGGAGAUCCAGAAUCCCAGCAAGAAUCUGCCGCGCUCAAUCAUCAUCGGCAUACCGCUGGUGACGCUCUGCUAUGCGCUGAUCAACAUCUCCUAUCUGGCGGCCAUGUCGCCCCAGGAGAUGAUCGAGUCGGAGGCAGUGGCCGUCACCUUUGGCAAUCGCAUACUGGGCGCCAUGGCCUGGCUGAUGCCCCUGAGCGUCACCAUCAGUACGUUUGGCAGUGCUAAUGGCACUCUGUUUGCCGCUGGACGUCUCUGCUUUGCCGCCAGUCGAGAGGGUCACUUGCUGGACAUUCUCUCGUAUGUCCAUGUGCGACGCCUCACCCCAGCCCCGGGCCUGAUAUUCCACCUUCACCGCCUGGAUAUUCUACGGCGGCGCAAUGCUGGCCCUGAUCGUGAUGCGCUACACCAAACCCAACUAUCCACGGCCAUACAAAGUGCCGAUCAUCAUUCCCGUUGUGGUCUUGGUCAUAUCCAUCUACCUUGUGGCGGCCCCCAUCUUUGAGACGCCUCGCAUUGAGUAUCUGUACGCCCUGCUCUUCAUAUUUGCUGGCCUCAUCUUCUACGUGCCGUUCGUCAAGCUGGGCAUGACACCGCGCUUCAUGAACAAGGUGACGCUGUUCUUCCAGCUGCUGUUGGAGGUGGUGCCCACCUCAUCGAUGGCCAUGUUCGAGUGAACAAAUGCUCAAAAAGGGUAAAACGUGUCAGAGAGACAAGCACGCAAACAUUCAAACAUUAUUAACUAUACAAGCAAGAAUACGAAGAAUAUAAGAAAAUAAGAAUACUAUUUGAAGUAUAGAUGCGGUUGAGAGACACUCGCGAAGCAGGGGAAAGCAAAUAGCAACCUAUAUUGAUAUAUAUACUAUAUAUAUUGACGUUGUCGUUGACAAACAAAAACAAAAACAAAAAACAAAAACUAUUUGGAAUAGUCUUUUUAUGCUAUGAGCUGGUUACAUUCAAAGGUUAUAUAUGCAUACACUAUACAGAACUAAGUAUAAAAUAUACACCCUCCCCAUACAUAUAUCUAUAUAUCAAAAGGUAGCGCGCCUAGGCAAAGUUGCAUAGUCGAUAAAACACACAAAUAAAUAUACAUAUAUAUGUGUAUAUGUAUGAACUACUCAACAUAUACAUAUAUUGUAGAUUUAAGAUUGAGUGGAAAUUUAAACAAUCCGGAAAUGUCCUUGCAAUGCGGCCCAGAGAUGAUGCCUUUCGAGUUAGGUGCACGGUUGAAGUACAGUCCCCCGAAUGACAGACAAGAGACACCACCAAAACGAGUACAGUACCCACCUAAAAACUAUCCACAACAUCUGGCAACACUCUCGCCGCAGACGAGGCAGACGCCGCCGCCGCAAAGCAUGCCACUACUGUAUUGUUUCGCUGUUUUUUUUUCGAGUUAUAUACAAGUUGAACGAUCUAGAGAUCUGUUUGGAAUAGCAAUAUAUAUGUGUAUAUGUAUGUGGGGAACUUAAGGAUAAACAAAUAGGAAGAAAACCAGAAAAUGCAAAAAAAAAAAUAAAUAAAAAAACCAAAAUAACGAAAGGAACGUUUCAUACUGGAAGAAGGAGACGAGACGCGUGUGCGAAUUGUGAAUUGUAGGACUGCAAAAUAGGCAUUAAAGAUUUCUAACUGAUAAAAAACAAAACGUAGGGAUCGCUAGGGAAGCAAUGAGAAAAAAUACAAAAACAAAAAAAUAGCAAAAAAAAAACUUACAUUAUUAAUAUUGAUGGAUAUUUGUUUACGAAUCUAUCCAGUAUAUUUUUUUUUUUAUUUUUUUUAUUCAUCGUCUAUAGAGGUUUGAGAAAUUGUUGUCUUCAGACCUAAAAACUAAAUGUUUAGAUGAUUAAAUCUCCUUUUUUUUAUAUACCUUUCAGUGAUUUUUUUUUAUUAUUUUUUUUUGCGCCUACGCGCACGAGUUAGAAAAAGACAGACAGACAGAUGCCACGGGUGUGUGGUCUCGCUCGCACCCACAAAAUGAAUUUAAAAUGUUUGAUUUUUUUUCUCGGUUUCUGUUUUCCAUUUCUUGGCGAUGCUUCUCUAUCAAUUGUCUGAACCGAUAUACAAUACAAACAUAUAUAUACCUACUAUAUAUCUAUAUCUUUAUAUAGGGACACUACAGCUAAACUCACAGACACACACACACAAAUACGAGUAGAUAUUUGUAUAAUUUGUUAAGUUUAUAAAUUUUAUAAUUUUUAUUACAAUUACAAAACUAUUUACAACGGAGAUAAAUCGGUAACCAGAAACAAAUCGAAAAUCUCUAUCUAUACAUGUACCUACCACAUAGAACAUAAAUGAGUAAAGAAUUGUAUUAUGUAAAACCAGAAAUUAAUGAAAUAAAGUUUUUAAAAC
RNAcentral lists this unclassified non-coding RNA (3394 nucleotides) under Drosophila pseudoobscura pseudoobscura. RNAcentral's name for it is "GA21769". The record is from RNAcentral. Lineage: Eukaryota; Metazoa; Arthropoda; Insecta; Diptera; Drosophilidae.